CGGGUGAGUAACACGUGGGUAACCUGCCCGGAAGUGGGGAAUACCUCGGGGAAACUCGAGCUAAUACCGCAUGACAUCUUCGGGACGAAAGUCCUGACGAUCAAAGCGGGGCCGCAAGGCCUCGCGCUCCCGGAUGGGCCCGCGCCCGAUUAGCUAGUUGGUGAGGUAACGGCUCACCAAGGCUUCGAUCGGUAACCGGCCUGAGAGGGCGAUCGGUCACACCGGAACUGAGACACGGUCCGGACUCCUACGGGAGGCAGCAGUGGGGAAUCUUGCGCAAUGGGCGAAAGCCUGACGCAGCAACGCCGCGUGGAGGAUGAAGGCCCUUGGGUUGUAAACUCCUGUCGGCUGGGAAGAAAUCGGCGGGUGCGAAUACCACUCGCCGUUGACUGUACCAGCAAAGGAAGCCCCGGCUAACUCUGUGCCAGCAGCCGCGGUAAUACAGAGGGGGCCAGCGUUAUUCGGAAUUAUUGGGCGUAAAGGGCGCGUAGGCGGCCACGCGUGUCUCCCGUGAAAUCCCUCGGCUUAACUGAGGACGUGCGGGAGAAACUGCGAGCUUCGAGUCCGGGAGAGGGGGGUGGAAUUCCCAGUGUAGCGGUGAAAUGCGUAGAUAUUGGGAGGAAC
Molecule: ribosomal RNA, 624 nt
Filed under: uncultured bacterium
Lineage: Bacteria
Description: bacterial SSU rRNA
Rfam family: Bacterial small subunit ribosomal RNA
Source: RNAcentral